Molecule: ribosomal RNA, 253 nt
Filed under: uncultured bacterium
Lineage: Bacteria
Description: partial 16S ribosomal RNA
Rfam family: Bacterial small subunit ribosomal RNA
Source: RNAcentral
GACAGAGGAUGCAAGCGUUAUCCGGAAUGAUUGGGCGUAAAGCGUCUGUAGGUGGCUUUUAAGUCCGCCGUCAAAUCCCAGGGCUCAACCCUGGACAGGCGGUGGAAACUACCAAGCUGGAGUACGGUAGGGGCAGAGGGAAUUCCCGGUGUAGCGGUGAAAUGCGCAGAUAUCGGGAAGAACACCCGUGGCGAAGGCGGUUCUCUGGGACGGUACUGACGCUGAGACGCGAAAGCGUGGGGAGCGAACAGGG